UACGGGGGGAGCAAGCGUUGUUCGGAUUUACUGGGCGUAAAGGGCGCGUAGGCGGCCACCGCAAGUCAGUUGUGAAAUCUCUGGGCUUAACCCAGAAAGGUCAACUGAUACUGCGGGGCUAGAGUGCAGAAGGGGCAACUGGAAUUCUCGGUGUAGCGGUGAAACGCGUAGAUAUGCGGAGGAACACCGAUGGCGAAGGCAAUCCCCUGGGCCUGCACUGACGCUCAUGCACGAAAGCGUGGGGAGCAAACAGG
RNAcentral lists this ribosomal RNA (254 nucleotides) under uncultured bacterium. Its description in RNAcentral is "partial 16S ribosomal RNA". It matches the Rfam family "Bacterial small subunit ribosomal RNA", at positions 524 to 776 of the family's 1533-position model. The record is from RNAcentral.